Molecule: ribosomal RNA, 578 nt
Filed under: uncultured archaeon
Lineage: Archaea
Description: bacterial SSU rRNA
Rfam family: Archaeal small subunit ribosomal RNA
Source: RNAcentral
GGCCGCCGGGAAUACUGCAUAGCUAGGGAGUGGGAGAGGUAGACGGUACUCCGUAGGAAGGGGUAAAAUCCUUUGAUCUAUGGAUGACCACCUGUGGCGAAGGCGGUCUACCAGAACACGUUCGACGGUGAGGGAUGAAAGCUGGGGGAGCAAACCGGAUUAGAUACCCGGGUAGUCCCAGCUGUAAACGAUGCAAACUCAGUGAUGCAUUGGCUUGUGGCCAGUGCAGUGCCGCAGAGAAGUCGUUAAGUUUGCCGCCUGGGAAGUACGUACGCAAGUAUGAAACUUAAAGGAAUUGGCGGGGGAGCACCACAAGGGGUGAAGCCUGCGGUUCAAUUGGAGUCAACGCCAGAAAUCUUACCCGGAGAGACAGCAGAAUGAAGGUCAAGUUGAAGCCUUUACCAGACAAGCUGAGAAGUGGUGCAUGGCCGUCGCCAGCUCGUGCCGUGAGGUGUCCUGUUAAGUCAGGUAACGAGCGAGAUCCUUGCCUCUAGUUGCUACCAUUACUCUCAGGAGUAGUGGAGCGAAUUAGCGGGACUGCCGUAGUUAAUACGGAGGAAGGAGAGGGCCACGGCAGG